CACGUAGGGACCGAGCGUUGUUCGGAAUCAUUGGGCGUAAAGAGUAUGUAGGCGGCUAUUUAAGUCAGGCGUGCAAGCCCACGGCUCAACCGUGGAAUUGCGUCUGAAACUAUUUAGCUUGAGUUCAGGAGAGGAAGGCGGAAUUCCCAGUGUAGCGGUGAAAUGUAUUGAUAUUGGGAAGAACACCGGUGGCGAAGGCGGCCUUCUGGUCUGAUACUGACGCUGAGAUACGAAAGCCAGGGGAGCGAACGGG
This 253-nucleotide ribosomal RNA is filed under the name uncultured bacterium. Its description in RNAcentral is "partial 16S ribosomal RNA". It matches the Rfam family "Bacterial small subunit ribosomal RNA", at positions 524 to 776 of the family's 1533-position model. The record is from RNAcentral.